This 253-nucleotide ribosomal RNA is filed under the name uncultured bacterium. Its description in RNAcentral is "partial 16S ribosomal RNA". It matches the Rfam family "Bacterial small subunit ribosomal RNA", at positions 524 to 776 of the family's 1533-position model. The record is from RNAcentral.
UACGGAGGGGGCGAGCGUUAUUCGGAAUUAUUGGGCGUAAAGGGCGCGUAGGCGGCCCGGUAAGUCCAAGGUGAAAUCCCUCGGCUCAACUGAGGAACUGCCUUUGAAACUGUCGGGCUUGAGGCCGGGAGGGGGUAGCGGAAUUCCCAGUGUAGCGGUGAAAUGCGUAGAUAUUGGGAGGAACACCGGUGGCGAAGGCGGCUACCUGGACCGGUUCUGACGCUGAUGCGCGAAAGCGUGGGUAGCAAACAGG